Pelodiscus sinensis (Chinese soft-shelled turtle) is the source of this 158-nucleotide small nuclear RNA. Its record names the gene U1. It matches the Rfam family "U1 spliceosomal RNA". From Rfam's summary of the family: U1 is a small nuclear RNA (snRNA) component of the spliceosome (involved in pre-mRNA splicing). The record is from Ensembl. NCBI's taxonomy places the organism in Eukaryota, Metazoa, Chordata, Testudines, Trionychidae.
CAACAUACCUUCUAGAUACCAUGAUCACAAAGAAGGUUUCCUAGGGUGAGGCUCAUCCAUUGGACUGUGGGUGUGCUGACCCAUGCAAUUUCCUUACAUGUGGGAAACUUGACUGCAUAAUUUGUAGUAUUGGGGGACUGCGUUCGCACUUUCCCCGG